AAAGAAUGCAAUAAAUAUUUAAUAUAAGUAUUAUCUUCUAAUUAUUUGUUUAAUUACUCAAACAUUAAGCAUUCGCUGUACCAUUGAAAAUUCGUAUAAAUAUUGCAUUAUUUCUCUGUACAGUAUAUAUCUGUAUAUACUUUUCCUUUUUAACUACAGAUAAAUCAUUUCCAGUUUUCAAAACAACCGUGUAACGUUAACAAAUUCAGCUGUUUGAAUCCUACGAGAUUAUAAACUAAAUCUACUUAAUGAGAAAAUAAUUAACGAAAUAUAGAAAUUUAUUUAUGUUCUCACUUUAAUCGAGCUUGCAGAAGAGGAUUUUGAAAGACAAACGGGGAUAUAUAUAUAUAUAACGAUAGUCAAGACCAUCAACAAGUCGUCUGACUUCCUUUAACGUGUGUAUGUGUGUGUGUGAUAGCCUAGUUCUUCAAGGCCUAACAAAAAAAAAAAAACUUUUUUUUUUUUUUUUUUUUCGCCCUUGUUACGCGCCUACAAGUUUCUGUUCGCAAAUACGGUCACGCAAGUCACGAUCGCCGAAUUAAAGAAACAAACGUCUUUUUGUGUGUCACGAGGUAAAAAAGAUGAUAAAUGAAAAAUAAAUGAAUGAUUUCUGUAAAAUAGGAAAAUUACGUAGUUUAUUUAAUAAUUAAUUUGUGUUUUCAAUCCUUCAUGAAUAUUAAUGGUUCUGAACCGAGCUUACACAGGUAGAGUUGCACUCUACUCUAAUUUUUAAGAAGUGUUUUCUGAUCUUAACAAAAAUUAGAUGUUUUUGUAACUUACGGAUUGAUGUGUGUAUUUUUUUUUCCUUCGAUAUACGUGAUAAUGGCAUACGAGCAAUGAUUAGUUAUAUAAAAAAAAAUAAUAGUCGAUAACGUUAAAUUGUUUAUGAAAUUUGCAAAUAUUAAUUAUAUAGUAUUAACAGAAGGUAUAAAUCAUUCCAAUCUUUAAAAUUAGGUUUAUAAAAAUAUUAAGAGAGCGUAUUUCCGUGAUAUAGCAUUCGAUCUGCUCACGAUUCUCUAUCGUGAAUGGCACACGCUCUGCAAUGACGUCACUGUACCUGGCCCAGAACAGUCGUCACGCGAAUGCCCGCAUCGCCGUCACGCGAACACCUCCCGCGAACAAUGGUAAAAUUAUCGUCACGCAUACUUCUAGUCCACGCCCCGGAAUCGUCACGAAUGUCGGUACAAUAUCACGCAAGACACGUAACCUCAAGUUCUUUAACUAAGUGAAAUAAAAAGCCGCUCGGUAUCGUUGGGGAAAACAAAAAGAGUUUCGCCCCAAUUCAUUAAACGGUUGUCUGUCAGACUGUUUCCUAUUAAUGAGAUUUUAAUUAGCUCCGAUCCCUAGGUUAGAAAAAUUACCGACGUUUCCAGCCAAGCCUCAGGAGGGGGAAGAACAAGAGGGCGUGAAAAACGAUCCCUCUAUGCCGGAAUCUCCCGCCAGGUGUCGCUGCGGGAAGCGCCAGUCCAUCAACUGCUUUCCCCCCUCCAUCCCCGUAGGUUUAACGAGGCGCGAUAAGAAAGGAAAAGAGAAAUCCUCCUUCACCGCACAACACCAAGUCUCUGCGGUGAAGAGCUCAUCUCUGGGGCAGAGACGUAAUAGAAUGGCGGUUUUUGGAAAACUUCCUAAAAACCUCUCUGUCUUACUUUCGCUCACUUCUGAAGGUGAAAGCCACGCAUUCUAAAAUCGCAAACUCAUUUGGAAAUCUAUGUUUCUGGGCGAUAGGUCAAAAAACUGUCAAAAAAAACUUAACUUUUACUCUCCGCCACGGUCAUUGCCCUACCGAAUGAAUUCAAUAAUGGUUGAUAAUUUAUUCAGACUUUUGAUAUUCAACAGCUCCAAACUUAAAAGUUUGAAAAAUAUUAUAUUUAAUAUAAUACUCACAUUUACGCGAAAUUACUCGGUCGAAAC
RNAcentral lists this long non-coding RNA (1911 nucleotides) under Androctonus crassicauda. The record is from RNAcentral. Lineage: Eukaryota; Metazoa; Arthropoda; Arachnida; Scorpiones; Buthidae.